Molecule: ribosomal RNA, 563 nt
Filed under: uncultured bacterium
Lineage: Bacteria
Description: bacterial SSU rRNA
Rfam family: Bacterial small subunit ribosomal RNA
Source: RNAcentral
CCUACGGGAGGCAGCAGUCGGGAAUUUUGGGCAAUGGGCGAAAGCCUGACCCAGCAACGCCGCGUGAAGGAUGAAGUAUUUCGGUAUGUAAACUUCGAAAGAAUGGGAGGAAUUAAUGACGGUACCAUUUGUAAGCUCCGGCUAACUACGUGCCAGCAGCCGCGGUAAUACGUAGGGAGCAAGCGUUGUUCGGAUUUACUGGGCGUAAAGGGCGCGUAGGCGGCAAUUCAAGUCAUCUGUGAAAUCUCCGGGCUUAACUCGGAACUGUCAGAUGAUACUGCUUUGCUAGAGUGCAGAAGGGGCAAUCGGAAUUCUUGGUGUAGCGGUGAAAUGCGUAGAUAUCAAGAGGAACACCUGAGGUGAAGACGGGUUGCUGGGCUGACACUGACGCUGAGGCGCGAAAGCCAGGGGAGCAAACGGGAUUAGAUACCCCGGUAGUCCUGGCCCUAAACGAUGAAUACUUGGUGUCUGGAGUUAUUAUCGCUCCGGGUGCCGUCGCUAACGUUUUUAGUAUUCCGCCUGGGGAGUACGCACGCAAGUGUGAAACUCAAAGGAAUUGACGG